Molecule: long non-coding RNA, 681 nt
Organism: Larimichthys crocea (large yellow croaker)
Lineage: Eukaryota; Metazoa; Chordata; Actinopteri; Sciaenidae
Exons: 4
Source: RefSeq, a predicted model, not a curated record
UGUAAAAUCCAAUAGCUGCCUUGACAUACAUUCAUUAGUUAACUUUACUAGGUUAUCAACAAUAUGCACUUAUGACUGGUAUUUAUGAAGUAACAGCUACUUGCAUGGUGAAAAACGCAAAAUACUUAGUGUUUAGAGUGAACAUUACUUUAUUUAGAGUUAAGCUCACUCGCAACAAUAAAUAGCCAACACCGUCUCACUCCCACUGUGCAUUCGAAGAAGAAGAAGAAGUGUGCAUGCGCAGUAGAACAUUCAGUCUCUCCCGCUCAGCAAUCAGCGCACCAGCGCACAGGCCGGACCACUGAGGGUGCGGACUCGACUUUUGCGCCGUCUUCUUCAUUCUUUUGAAAAAUAAUAAGAACGUGGUCCCAGUGCACUGGAGGAAGCUGUUUCCCCGUGGAGCUCCAGCAGUGCUUAGAAGGCUAAAAAAACCUUCACCUGACAUCUUAUCAGCAAGGGGAUGCAUUGGACCUGUAAGCAGUGCCUUUUUUCCACAGACAAAAGAGGACAGUUGUUAAACACUGUUGCAUAAAACAUGGAGGUUUUUCUCGGCAACAACCAAUACCAUGUCUUCAUAUGGAUUGCUUGUGCGUCUUUAAAAUCUUUUAAUGCACUCAAAGUUCAUUUAUCUGUUUGGCAUUCUCAAUCAGACAUCAGACAAGCAAGUAAACCCACAGUUGC